RNAcentral lists this ribosomal RNA (492 nucleotides) under uncultured bacterium. Its description in RNAcentral is "partial 16S ribosomal RNA". It matches the Rfam family "Bacterial small subunit ribosomal RNA", at positions 29 to 507 of the family's 1533-position model. The record is from RNAcentral.
AGUGAACGCUGGCGGUAGGCCUAACACAUGCAAGUCGAACGGCAGCACAGUAAGAGCUUGCUCUUACGGGUGGCGAGUGGCGGACGGGUGAGGAAUACAUCGGAAUCUACUUUUUCGUGGGGGAUAACGUAGGGAAACUUACGCUAAUACCGCAUACGACCUACGGGUGAAAGCAUGGGAUCUUCGGACCUUGCGCGAUUGAAUGAGCCGAUGUCGGAUUAGCUAGUUGGCGGGGUAAAGGCCCACCAAGGCGACGAUCCGUAGCUGGUCUGAGAGGAUGAUCAGACACACUGGAACUGAGACACGGUCCAGACUCCUACGGGAGGCAGCAGUGGGGAAUAUUGGACAAUGGGCGCAAGCCUGAUCCAGCCAUACCGCGUGGGUGAAGAAGGCCUUCGGGUUGUAAAGCCCUUUUGUUGGGAAAGAAAAGCAGCAGGUUAAUACCCCGCUGUUCUGACGGUACCCAAAGAAUAAGCACCGGCUAACUUCGUG